AGAGUGAACGCUGGCGGCAGGCCUAACACAUGCAAGUCGAACGGCAGCACAGCAGUAGCAAUACUGUGGGUGGCGAGUGGCGGACGGGUGAGGAAUACAUCGGAAUCUACCUUGUCGUGGGGGAUAACGUAGGGAAACUUACGCUAAUACCGCAUACGAACUAUGGUUGAAAGCGGCGGACCGCAAGGCGUCGCGCGAUUGGAUGAGCCGAUGUCCGAUUAGCUAGUUGGCGGGUAAAGGCCCACCAAGGCGACGAUCGGUAGCUGGUCUGAGAGGAUGAUCAGCCGCACUGGAACUGAGACACGGUCCAGACUCCUACGGGAGGCAGCAGUGGGGAAUAUUGGACAAUGGGGGCAACCCUGAUCCAGCCAUGCCGCGUGUGUGAAGAAGGCCUUCGGUUGUAAAGCACUUUGUUGGGAAGAAAGCACUGGUAAUAACCUUGUGUCAUGACGGUACCCAAAGAAUAAGCACCGGCUAACUUCGUGCCAGCAGCCG
This 495-nucleotide ribosomal RNA is filed under the name uncultured soil bacterium. RNAcentral describes it as "bacterial SSU rRNA". It matches the Rfam family "Bacterial small subunit ribosomal RNA", at positions 26 to 517 of the family's 1533-position model. The record is from RNAcentral.